GAUGAAGAACGCAGCAAAAUGCGAUACUUGGUGUGAAUUGCAGAAUCCCAUGAACCAUCGAGUUUUUGAACGCAAGUUGCGCCCGAAGCCUUUUGGCCGAGGGCACGUCUGCCUGGGCGUCACGCAUCGCGUCGCCCCCCACAAUUCUCCGUAAAAGGAACAUGUGUUUUGGGGGCGGAUAUUGGUCUCCCGUGCUCAUGGCGUGGUUGGCCGAAAUAGGAGUCCUUUCGAUGGACGCACGAACUAGUGGUGGUCGUAAAAACCCUCGUCUUUUGUUUCGUGCUGUUGCUCGCAAGGUAAACUCUUUAAAAACCCCAAUGUGUCGUCUCUUGACGACGCUUCGACCGCGACCCCAGGUCAGGCGGGACUACCCGCUGAGUUUAAGCAUAUCAAUAAGCGGAGGA
Molecule: unclassified non-coding RNA, 404 nt
Filed under: soil metagenome
Description: partial contains 5.8S ribosomal RNA, internal transcribed spacer 2, and large subunit ribosomal RNA
Rfam family: 5.8S ribosomal RNA (bases 1-122)
Source: RNAcentral